Molecule: long non-coding RNA, 5464 nt
Organism: Medicago truncatula (barrel medic)
Lineage: Eukaryota; Viridiplantae; Streptophyta; Magnoliopsida; Fabales; Fabaceae
Exons: 2
Source: RefSeq, a predicted model, not a curated record
UUCAUUAUUGACUUGCCUUCAGCUGUUUUGCUGAAGGUGAAAAUGGGCGAUGAUUACAAAGAGAGAAAAUGUCUUAUGUGGGAAAUAAUACCCAAUUCCAUCGCAAAUGCUAUGUUGGGAAAUAAAGAGCAGAAUUCUAAGUCAGAAUUUGAAGGUGCCGCUAUACUCUUUUUACCAAAGGGGUUUUGGCUUUGGCAUCUCACAUUCUGGCUUCUUCUUUUUCUCUGCUCUUCCUCUCUCUCUUACUGUCCUUUCAAAUUGAAUUGGGGUUGUUUCUUACAGUGAUAGAUCUAUCAAAAUUUACACUUCACAUGAGCCCUUCACCCAUUGUUACGAUGAUUUUAUCCUUUUGUUUUAAAAAUCUGUUUUGGUUAGGGUUCAUGUUUCAAUUGAUGUAUUGGAUUAUUCAAGCAUAAAAACCACAAUGGUAUUUGUUCAAUCGAGUUUUAUUAGGUUUUUGAAGAUCGAAUGUUCAAUUUUCCUAACAUAAUCAACUGAGUUGACACAAGUGUCUAUAGUUUCCAUGUUGCAUUAAUCGAGCAUGAAAACCAUAUUGACUGGUUUGGUUAGGUUGUGAAUCAAACUAAUCAACCACUAAAAUGGAAAUGGAAUCCACAAAUGCUGAGUUUUUUUGUCUCAUCAUUUUAUUAAUUUCAUUUCUCAUUUUUUUUUUUAUUUGUUUCUAUCUGCUAUUUAAAUUCAGUUGCUUUGUGUAUUUCUUAUUUUGAUAGAAAAUUUGGGGUUUUUUAAUAAUAAAACACAGUAGUAUGAAUAUGGUUAAGGUGUAUGGAAUCAAUUUAUCGCACUUUCAUUUUAUUUUUUUUGUUCUCUUUUAAUAAUUUGAUAAAAGUAAUGAGCUUUCACUCGUGUAUACUAAGGUAUGUGGGGAUGGUAUAAAAUUGCAUUUUUUUUCGACAUAGAAUUGCAUGUUAAGUAUUAUUGAUCCUUAGUGUGAACUUCGACUAAUAUGUGCAACUGUGAAAGUGUCGGCUUUAGUUGUGGUGCCCUUCAAUUUUUAUUAUAAGUAAGUUACCAUUUGGUGGGACCCCUUCCCGGACCCUGCAUAUGCGGGAGCUCUAGUGCACCGGGUUGCCCUUUUAUAUAAGUAAGUUAUCGCAUAUAUAUUUGCUAUUAAAGGUGUAGCAGGUUCAAUAAUUUCAAUGAAGUACUUGAUAUGAAAUGUGAAUACAGAGUAAAUAAAUCUAAAGAGUAAAGUGUACAAACCAAAUUCUAUACAAAAAAAGUAUACAUACCAAAUACCGUUGAUAUCAUUUUUCAGUAUUAUAAUUUGUGGUUUAAGCCUCAAUUAGUUGCUCUUAAAGAUGAGUCUCUAGAAAGAAUAAGGAGUCAUUGAAUUGUGAUACCUUUAUAUGUCUCGGAUUUUGUUUUUUAGGCCAAUUAUGUUUUUGCUUGUCACUCCUAUGUAGUAACUAUGGUUACAAUAGAAGAAUAGUUUGCUCAUUGCUUUCAGCUGUUUUGCUGAGGGUGAAAAGAAAGGGGCGAUGAUAAUAAUGAGAGGUUCCUUUAGUGGGAGAAUAAUAUCCAUUUCGAUCGGAAAAUUAGAACCCAACUUCUAUUAGUUAGGAUUCGCUCCAUAUAUCAAUAUCUACAAAGAAGGUCUGAACUUGAAGGUGCCGUCACACGUUUGUCACCUUUGGUAUAUCAGAUUCUGUCUGUCUUCUUUCUCCUUUUCUUCCUCUUUCUCUUGUUGUCCCUUAAAAUGGAUUCAGGUUUUUUUCCAGUGACUGAUCUUUCAAAAUUUACUUUUGGCAUGAGCCCCUCAAACUUCUGAUUUUCUAUUGUUAUGGUUAUUUUAACUUAUUUCUUUGAAAAAUUUGUUUUGUUCAUAGUUGUAAUUUCUUUUUCCUGCACUGAAUUUGUUGUGGACAAGGAAACAUUUUGUUGUCUUCUUGUUGAAGAUUUUGUGCCUACAGAAAAAGCUUGAUUAUAGCUACUGCUUGUUUCUGUGUUUCAGAAACUUUGUGUGUUUCUUGUAAGUGGGCAGCGGCCAGACAACCGUAGAGAUGGAAUCCACAGAGUGCAUCAGAGAAAGUGAAAAUGAGAGAUAUACCAUUUGAAUGUAUAUAAAUGCUUAGGACAGAUGAAACCCUAGGAAAAAUGUGGUGGUCUAUAUAAAGUGUGGGUCAGUUUCACUGUUCUUUACCUUCAGCUGUUUUGCUGAAGGUGAAAUGGGCGAUGAUUACAAAGAGAGAAGAUGUCUUAUGUAGGAAAUAAUACCCAAUUCCAUCCAUCGCAAAUGCUAUGUUGGGAAAUAAAGAGCAAUUUUCUAAGUCAGAAGUUGAAGGUGCCGCUAUACCCUUUUCACCAAAGGGCUUUUGGCUUUGGCAUCUCAGAUUCUGUCUUCUUCUUUUUCUCCUCUUCCUCUUUCUCUUACUGUCCCUUCAAAUUGAAUUGGUUUUUUUUUUCUUCCUACAGUGAUAGAUCUGUCAAAAUUUACACUUCAUAUGAGCCCUUUACAUUCUUAUUUUGCAUUCUUAUUAUGAUUUUAGCUUAUUUGGUUUGUAGUUUUUGUUUUUUCUGCACAGUUCCUGUUUGGAUGGAAACCUUUUUUUAUUUAUUUUUGCUGGUGCUUGUUUCAAUUUUCCCAACCUAGUCAAAAUGGGUUUGAUACUGUGAUUUUCAUGUCUGAUUAAUAGAUAUUCCCUCCGUCCCAUAUUAUAAGCAAAAAAAAAAAUGACACUUAUAAGAAAACUAAAACAUAGUAGUUUGCAACAUAGUUUCUUGUGUUAUCCUUGAAAUAAGUUUUAUAGAAAGAUGUAAAAACAAUUUUAUUGGUUAUUGGUUAUUGAGAAAAUGAAAGAGAGAGCAAAUUGAAUGCACUUUGCAUUUAAUUUUCCUUUGGAAAAGAUAAUUUUUUGAAACAACAUAAUUAAAUAUGCUAAAAGUUGGUUUUUUUUUGCUUAUAAUUUGGGACAAAGAAAAUGGGUUUUUUUCCUUAUAAUUUGGGAUGGAAGGAGUAUAUUACAUUAAUCGGGAAUGAAAAUCACAAGUCAAAGCCAGAUUAAUUAUGUCGUUGGAAAUUGAAUAGAAAGACCCGCCAAAAUGUUUUUAUUUUUAUUUUUUAAUUUAUUUUGUAAUAUUCUGUGCGGAAAAGGAAAGUUGCUUUUUUCAGUUUUUCCCAACCUAAUCAAACUGGAUUUGACAUUAUUGUUUGUGGUUUUCAUAUCUGAUUAAUUGACAUAUUGGAUUAAUCGAGCAUGAAAACCAUAAGCAGUAUGUCUGCACAUGUCUGCACUCGCUUUAGUUAGGUUGUUGAAGAUGAAAUUGAACCAAUGAAUUACUAAAAUGUUUUUGUGGGUUUCGUUGUAAUUGGACAGCAGAAGCUAGACAACCAUAGAGAUGGAAUCCACAAAUGCUGAGUUUUUUUUGUUUCAUCAUUCUACUAAUUCCAUCUCACAUUUUCUUAUUUGUUUGUAUCUGCUGUUUAAAUUUAGUUGUUUUGUUUAUUUCUUAUUUUGAUAGAAAAUUUGGGGUUUUAUAACAAGGAAGAAGACAUUAAGUAGUGUGCAUAUGGAUGCAGUGCAUGGAAUCAAUUUGUUGCAUUUGCACUUUUUUUGUUCUAUUUAAAUAAUUUGAUAAUAGUUAUGAGCUUUCACACUUGAGAUAUGUGGGGACAAUAGACAAUUGCAUGUUUUUUAGACAUAGAAUUUUCAUGUUAAGUAUUGAUCCUUAGAAUUUGGUAAGACUUGAUGACAUUGAUGAGCCAUUACAGUGUGAACUUGUGGAAGUGUCAGCUUCAAAAAUGUUUACCUAAUUUCUUGCAAGUGGAAUGCAUGCACCAUCUCAUACAUUUACCUUUUUGUUUACAUUCGUUGAAUCAGUAAAUGGGCGAAAUGGGCGAUGAUUACUAAGAGAUAAGAUGUCUUAUGUGGGAAACAAUACCCAAUUCCAUCCAUUGCAUUUCACAAAUGGUAUGUGGGAAAUAAAAACCAAUUUUCUAGAUAAGAAGUUUGAUACCUUUAUUUGUCUUGGAUUUUGUUUUUGGACCCAAUUAUAUUUUCAUAUAAUGUUUUUUCUUGUCACCCGAAUGCAGCAACUAUGGUUACAGUACAAAAAUAGUUUGUUGUGCAGAAUUUGAAUCAUGUCUCUUCUAUUCAAUCAUCAUAACCAAUGUAUUAUUUUCAGAUAAUUUAUUGCUUUCAGCUGUUUUGCUGAAGGUAUAAACAAUCUAAUUACCUUUUGAUUCUGAUUCCAUGUGGAUAGUUUAUUAUCCAGGUUCGUUACAGUAACUCUUUCACUAACUUUUAUAUAAGGCUAUCAUUAAUAUCGAUCCUUUCACUUUAGCAUCUAACAUUCAUUGGUGUUGACGAAAGUAUGUUAAUAAAUGUUGGUAGUUAGUUUGUUAGGAUAUGGAGGAAAUGUUUGUAGCUAGGAUUGAACCCUAGACCUGGCUCGUAAUACUAACCAGCCAACUGCAAAUAAGAGCCAACAUGUUGAUAUUUUGAACUUUGGAUUGAACAAUAUAAAGUAAAAUACCAGCUAAAAUGUUUGGAUUUACCAUGUUUAUAAAUGAAAAUUCCUUGUUUUUAAAGUGCAAUAUACUGCAAGGAAGGCAACGGGCGGUAGUCAUAUCGAUAGAGCAUAAUGCUAUUGAUAUGUGGACUUUUGCUUUUAAUAGUAACCGGUGGGAGUAUAGAAUAAUUGAGGUGUGAGAUUAGACUAGAUCUAUAAAAUAAUAGACUAUGUUUGGAACCUGUGACUAUGAAUGGUGACUUUAUCUAUGAAAUUCAAUUUUGGCGAUCUCAAUAAUCCGCCAGUGAUGAGAAAAUAGUGCAUUGUUAACCGCUAAUUACCCCUAAAAUAUAUACUUUCGGACUGACGAUUUUUCAUCUAGCAGUGUUAUCUUUCUUAACAAUUGUUAUAAAUUUAUUUUAAGCUUUUUUAUUUUGUUGAAACUCCUAAUGUUUACACUUGUGUCUGGUUUCAUGCAACUUUUUUAUUUUAGAACGUUAUCAACGAACAAGAUGAAAAACUGAAUGAGCUGAAAGAAAGCAUUGGUGAAGCCGCAUAUGAUGCCGUGGCGAUAGCUUUGAAAGAGAUGAAUGAAUAUAAUCCUAGUGGUGGAUGUCUAAUCUCAGAACUAUGGAACCACAAAGAGGAAAGGAGAGCAACAUUGCAAGAAGGAAUACAGUUUCUCGCCAACAACCCGUCAAAUAAACGCAAGAGGGGAUCAGUUCUGGAAAGGGUGAUUGAUGUUGAUGACAGGGAAGAAGCAUAGGGCAUAGCUAGAGAGACACUUUUUGCAUCUCAACUUAGUAGCAUGCUUUCAUGUUUGGUGAGUUGUUAGUCCAGCAUUUUGGUCAGCUAAAAUAAUCAGUUUCACUAGACAAUUGGUACUAAUCUAGAUGAAAAUCAAACUGCAUUAUUAAUUAUCUCUCUAGCAUGGAAGAAGACAUGUUGAACUUGGCAGCAUAUUAUUAUGAAGUUGUUUAUUUAUACUCUA